AAUGCACCAAUUUGUAAGUCGCUCUGGAUAAGGGCUUCUGCUAAAUGACGUAAA
Non-coding RNA from Salmo salar (Atlantic salmon), 54 nucleotides. Lineage: Eukaryota; Metazoa; Chordata; Actinopteri; Salmoniformes; Salmonidae. The record is from Rfam.